Molecule: non-coding RNA, 203 nt
Organism: Oryza glaberrima (African rice)
Lineage: Eukaryota; Viridiplantae; Streptophyta; Magnoliopsida; Poales; Poaceae
Source: Rfam
AAAAAGUCAAAACCUAGGUUUCCGUGUCCAACUUUAUCUGUCCGUUUUAUAUGAAAUUUUUUUAUAAUUCGUAUUUUUAUUAUUGUUAGAUGAUAAAACAUAAUUAAUAUUUUAUACGUGACUUGUCUUUUUAAUUUUUUUCAUAAUUUUUUUAAUAAGACGGACGGUCAAACGUUGGACAUAGAAACCAGGCUUGUCUUUUU